RNAcentral lists this small nuclear RNA (106 nucleotides) under Prolemur simus (greater bamboo lemur). The record is from RNAcentral. Lineage: Eukaryota; Metazoa; Chordata; Mammalia; Primates; Lemuridae.
GUGCUCGCUUCAGCACACAUAUACUAAAAUUGGAAUGAUACAGACAAGAUUAGCAUGGCCCCUGAGCAAGGAUGACACACAAAUUCAUGAAGCGUUCCAUAAAAAA